GUUGGCCAGACUGGUCUUGAACUCCUGACCUCAGAAGAUCCACUCGCCUCAGCCUCCCAAAGUGCUGGGAUUACAGGUGUGAGCCACCGCACCUGGCCUGCAAAUGGCUUUUUGAUGAACCCCAUGUGUGCAGCGUUGCUCCCCAACGUCCCAAGGCUCGCUGGAGAACAUCCCCACUCAGCCAGGAGGAGGCGCUCUGUCCAGGUUUGGAGAGGUGAACACAUUUCCCAGUGGAAAACCAAAGGUGUUCCAGCCAAUGAACCUAAGGAAGGUGAAAGGAAAAGGCUGGAGAGUGGUAGCAUGAUCACUGCUUACUGAAGCCUCAACCUCCUCU
This is a long non-coding RNA of Macaca mulatta (Rhesus monkey), 334 nucleotides long. RefSeq lists it as uncharacterized. Lineage: Eukaryota; Metazoa; Chordata; Mammalia; Primates; Cercopithecidae. The record is from RefSeq and is a predicted model, not a curated record.